AGGCUUUGUAGUUGAAUAACAAUAGAAAGUUGCAGCCUUUCGGGUGAGGGGAAUUUCCUCCAGGGUCUU
This 69-nucleotide transfer RNA is filed under the name Mimachlamys senatoria. RNAcentral's name for it is "tRNA-Cys". Lineage: Eukaryota; Metazoa; Mollusca; Bivalvia; Pectinida; Pectinidae. The record is from RNAcentral.